AAACAUGUCUUUUUGAAUUAUAUUUAAAGUCUGACCUGCCCACUGAAUAAUUUUAAAUGGCCGCAGUAUUUUGACUGUGCAAAGGUAGCAUAAUCAUUAGUCUUUUAAUUGAAGGCUGGUAUGAACGGUUGGACGAAGUAUAAGCUGUUUCAUAUAAAUUUAUAAUAGAAUUUUAUAUUUUAGUUAAAAAGCUAAAAUUUUAUUAAAAGACGAGAAGACCCUAUAAAUCUUUAUAUUUAAUAUAAACUAAAUUUUUUUGAUUUAUUUUAUUUUUUUAAUAUUAAUUAUUUUGUUGGGGUGAUAUUAAAAUUUGAUGAACUUUUAAUUUUUAAAAAUCAUUAAUUUAUGAAUUAUUGAUCCAUUAAUAGUGAUUAUAAGAUUAAGUUACUUUAGGGAUAACAGCGUAAUUUUUUUUGAGAGUUCAUAUCGACAAAAAAGUUUGCGACCUCGAUGUUGGAUUAAGGUAUAAUUUUGGGUGUAGCCGUUCAAAAAUUAAGUCUGUUCGACUUUUAAAUCCUUACAUGAUC
RNAcentral lists this ribosomal RNA (527 nucleotides) under Anastrepha ludens (Mexican fruit fly). RNAcentral's name for it is "partial small subunit ribosomal RNA". The stretch from base 395 to 527 matches the Rfam family "Bacterial large subunit ribosomal RNA", at positions 2473 to 2605 of the family's 2925-position model. The record is from RNAcentral. Lineage: Eukaryota; Metazoa; Arthropoda; Insecta; Diptera; Tephritidae.